RNAcentral lists this long non-coding RNA (833 nucleotides) under Homo sapiens (human). Its description in RNAcentral is "long non-coding RNA NONHSAT155538.1". Lineage: Eukaryota; Metazoa; Chordata; Mammalia; Primates; Hominidae. The record is from RNAcentral.
GCCUCAUCUUGAAAUGAAAUUUUAGCUCAUCCUCUUAUAUCCUGAAGUGUUAUCAUUAGUUGUUGAUUCGUUAUUUACAUACAACAACAGCAACAAAAAAUUUUGAUGUGUCCUAUUUCUCUAGUAAGCCCAGUAAAAUUAUAAGGGCUUAAAGAGCAGACAAAAUAGAAGAUAGAGAAAUAGACAGAAGAAAAAUGAAAGGAAGAAAGGAGAAAAUACAGGAGCUACAGCAAGAUGCCUGUUUCUAACCUAGCCUUUGGAAGACUGCAUGCUCUCCUGGAUCCCGGCAGCACUGGAACAGAAGCAUUAGGAAAACUUGGGCUGUUGUUGCUGAGACUGGGACAUGAGCUGGGAGAGUGCUUUCAUAGCCAGGGUUGAGAAAUGAGUGAGGCAUGGGCUGUGGCUGCCAGUGCUGAAAAGUGAACACCACCAACACUGAGAUUAGUACGCAGUGGGCAUGAGUCGCCACUUGGACCUAGUUGCAAGCUGGGCAGGGACUCCUAUCACCAGAGCUGAGGUAUUAUGGGAGAUAGGCUGGGACAGAGAAGGAAAGCCAGGAAGAAGAGACAGCAUGAGCAAAAGCAUGAAGAUCAGAAUUCAAAGAGGAUGCUGCUAAGGAACUACAGACAGAGUCUUGCUAUGUUGCCCAGUCUGGUCUCAAACUCCUGGCCUGAAGCAAUCCUACCUUGACCUCCCAAAGUGCUGGGAUUACAGGACACAGCAAGAAGGCAGCCAUCUGCAGGCCAGGAAGAGAGCUUGCCCAUGCUGGCACCCUGAUCUGGGACUUUUCCUGUCACUGGAACUGAAAAAUAAAUACAUGUUGCAUAAGCCAC